RNAcentral lists this ribosomal RNA (356 nucleotides) under uncultured bacterium. Its description in RNAcentral is "bacterial SSU rRNA". It matches the Rfam family "Bacterial small subunit ribosomal RNA", at positions 29 to 410 of the family's 1533-position model. The record is from RNAcentral.
AACGAACGCUGGCGGCAUGCCUAACACAUGCAAGUCGAACGGAUGGUCGCAAGACCAUUAGUGGCGGACGGGUGCGUAACGCGUGGGAACCUGCCUUGAAGUUCGGAAUAACUGCGGGAAACUGCAGCUAAUACCGGAUGUGGCCUGUGGGCCAAAGGGGAAACUCGCUUCAAGAGGGCCCGCGUCCGAUUAGCUAGUUGGCGGGUAACGGCCACCAAGGCGAUGAUCGGUAGCUGGUCUGAGAGGACGACCAGCCACACUGGAACUGAGAUACGGUCCAGACUCCUACGGGAGACAGCAGUGGGGAAUAUUGGACAAUGGGGCAACCCUGAUCCAGCAAUGCCGCGUGAGUGAUG